RNAcentral lists this ribosomal RNA (156 nucleotides) under Aspergillus nidulans. Its description in RNAcentral is "5.8S ribosomal RNA". It matches the Rfam family "5.8S ribosomal RNA". Rfam says of the family: 5.8S ribosomal RNA (5.8S rRNA) is a component of the large subunit of the eukaryotic ribosome. Lineage: Eukaryota; Fungi; Ascomycota; Eurotiomycetes; Eurotiales; Aspergillaceae. The record is from RNAcentral.
AACUUUCAACAAUGGAUCUCUUGGUUCCGGCAUCGAUGAACAACGCAGCGAACUGCGAUAAGUAAUGUGAAUUGCAGAAUUCAGUGAAUCAUCGAGUCUUUGAACGCACAUUGCGCCCCCUGGCAUUCCGGGGGGCAUGCCUGUCCGAGCGUCAUU